GACCGCUUUAGAGAGCAGGCUCCCAGCAGCACACCUCUUACCAAUGUUUGUAUUGACAAGUGUUUCAAAAGAAAUAUUACAGACUGCACUGCAUUUUUUAAAAAAAUGAUUUAUCCACAUACAUGUAUCAUAAACACGGAAAAGCAAAGAAAAAACCUACUUGCAACCUCAUUUUUCAUCACCCAAAUUGCAAUGUUUAAUGGAUAGAAACAAUCCUCUUGCAUCACUUUGUCCCCCGCCCCCAAUUCUUGCAGUGUUGUGCCUACCACCUGUCAGAUUAUUGAAACAGUUGUGGUCAGUGGGGAAGGACCAUAGUCUCCCAGCAACUGCAUCACGACAGUGGAGUGGAAAAGCAGUGGGCCAUUGGUGCUGUGCAGGACCAUUCCGUUGGCUCCGUUGGUGCACAAGCGCAGCACUGACUCUUAACUCUUCCCACCAGCCCCCUUUGGUUGAGAGGUUUUUGCCUUUCUCCCACUGUUUGCCACAACUUGUGCAGAAAUGGCAUUGAGUAGGAUCAAAACAUAAUGGGCAGAGUGGAGGCCUGUCCUCAGCCUGAGCUUGGCAGGGCCUGUUGCCUCUCAUCCCAGGUUGUCAGCGGGACCCAGUUCUGCUGGUCAGCUCCCAUGGCGUUCCCCAACCAAGCAAGCUGGGAUGGUGCGUUGGGCUUAAGAUCGGAAGUCUUCGGGGCUAACAGAUCCCCACCCAGUGCCACGUCAACCGCACUUGCCUCGGGAGUCAAUAGAAAGCUGUGGCCUGGCUUUACCAACACAUGAGUCCCGCGUGUUGCAUACCCGCUCUGAUGGCCUCGGAGGCUUCCACAGUGCGCCUGCCAUGUGACUGGGUCCAACUUACUGUCUUAAGAGGAUUGUCUUUGGGGGUUAUUUUCUUUUCUUUUGAUUCAAUAUAUUGCCUCAGGUUUGAGAGUGUGGUUUUUCAUGUGUUUACCUUCCUCUGUCCUGGUUGGUGUGCAGUUUGUGUGUAUCUAUGUCUGUGUCCUGAGUUUUCCCGAUCAGGGACGCAGGUGGCGCUGUGGGUUAAACCACAGAGCCUAGGAUUUGCUGAUCAGAAGGUCGGCGGUUCGAAUCCCCGUGACAGGGUGAGCUCCCGUUGCUCGGUCCCUGCUCCUGCCAACCUAGCAGUUCAAAAGAACGUCAAAGUGCAAGUAUAUAAAUAGGUACCACUCCGGCGGGAAGGUAAACAGCGUUUCCGUGCGCUGCUCUGGUUCGCCAGAAGCAGCUUAAUCAUGCUGGCCACAUGACCCAGAAGCUGUACGCCGGCUCCCUCGGCCAAUAAAGCGAGAUGAGCGCCGCAACCCCAGAGUCGGCCACGGCUGGACCUAAUGGUCAGGGGUCCCUUUACCUUUACCUUUUCUUCUCCUUAGAGCCACAGCUACUAACUUAGUGUUCAAAUCUACUUCCCUCUUCUAUGGGCUGGAUUAGGAAAGGUUGCAGACCUCCAGAGACUACUUCCCUUGUUCAAAUGUUGUUGUGGAAUAGUUUAAACACUUGAUGCCUGUUGCUGCCUAAUUUUCCAUAUUUCUGAUUCUCCGCCUCCCACAGCAAAGGUUUUGAAUGGCUUGAUGAGCAUUUCUGUUCAGGGUGCAUGACAAAGAUGACCAGAGGCAGGAUUUGUUUUGGUUAUGGCAUCUCCACAUUGGAAUGCUUGCAUGCUCCCAGUCUGAUUUUUCAUUUUAUUUUUUGGUGUUGGAGAAAGUUUGUGGGGUUUUUUUCAUUUGCCAGAGUAUUUCAUCGUGCUGUUUUAACUGCUAUUUUCUGGUUCUGUCCACUUUUAUUGCUGGUUGCUGCUGUUCAUGUGUUUAUCUUGUUUUACUAUUGAACUUUUUGUUGUAUAGAUUUAUUUUCUUGAUUGACACCCCCCCACCCAAGAGACUUCUGCUGAAGGCGGCUUAUACAUUUCCUAAAUAAACAGAAACAAACAAGUAAUCCUUCUUUCAACACUUAUUCUGUAUCUGAAGUCUUCAUCCGUGCACUUGGCAGUCUGAAACAGGCGACAAGCAUGUGCAUGCCUCCCAGAUAUACAUAAAUAUUGAAAAGUUAUCUGGGUAAACUACCUCUCCCGUUAUAUGAUAUAGCUGCUAGCCUGUUGUGAAUAAUACGAUUUCUUCUCCUUUAUGUUCAACAUUGUACCCGAGUCUGUAAUAUAUUGCUUUUGAAAGAUUGCUUAAAAAGAAAAGAGAUGGGCAAAUGUCAUUGUGUCUCAGGUUUGUGCCUGGAAGCAAAUACAGUCAAGGAACAAUAUAUAACAACAGAAAGAUUAUUGCCCAAAGGCUGUAAGGCAGCACUUAAGACAUUUGUAGUCAGGGCAUCAAAAGUAUAUAGAAUCAACACAAAGAAAUAAACCUUUACUUCUACCUGUUUUCAAUGUA
Podarcis raffonei (Aeolian wall lizard) is the source of this 2386-nucleotide long non-coding RNA. RefSeq lists it as uncharacterized. NCBI's taxonomy places the organism in Eukaryota, Metazoa, Chordata, Lepidosauria, Squamata, Lacertidae. The transcript is spliced from 2 exons. The record is from RefSeq and is a predicted model, not a curated record.